UACGUAGGGUGCAAGCGUUAUCCGGAAUUAUUGGGCGUAAAGAGCUCGUAGGCGGUUUGUCGCGUCUGCUGUGAAAACUGGAGGCUCAACCUCCAGCCUGCAGUGGGUACGGGCAGACUAGAGUGCGGUAGGGGAGAUUGGAAUUCCUGGUGUAGCGGUGGAAUGCGCAGAUAUCAGGAGGAACACCAAUGGCGAAGGCAGAUCUCUGGGCCGUAACUGACGCUGAGGAGCGAAAGCAUGGGGAGCGAAC
RNAcentral lists this ribosomal RNA (250 nucleotides) under uncultured Microbacteriaceae bacterium. RNAcentral's name for it is "partial 16S ribosomal RNA". It matches the Rfam family "Bacterial small subunit ribosomal RNA", at positions 524 to 773 of the family's 1533-position model. The record is from RNAcentral. Lineage: Bacteria; Bacillati; Actinomycetota; Actinomycetes; Micrococcales; Microbacteriaceae.